AGCAAGAACAAAGGAAGAAAAGAAAGAACAAGAACCCUAGAGUGAAAAUUCAAGAGAAAAUUUGGUGGAUUUCAGUAAUCAAGCAAUCAAAGGUAAAAUUUCUUGAUUUUGACUUGUGAUCUACCUUUCCCAUGCAUUCUUUUGCAUUUUCCAUGGUUGAAUCACAUGAUUUCAUGAUGGGUAUCUUGCUGGCUGAACACUUAGAGAGAGGUUUUGAUGCUUGAUUUGGUUAUAUUUCAAUGUAUUCUAGUGUUUUUAGUUGAUUGGUGAUGUGUAGCAUGAAAAUCAAGUAAGAAAAAUUCAUGUUCUUCCAUCACCCAUCAUUGGCCGAAUUCUCCAUGUGGAAUAUUGAGGAUGAUUUUGAUUUUAUUUCAAGUGAUUUUGUUAGGAAUUAGUGAUUUACGGUGUGAGAAUCAAGCUUGAAAAAUUAUAGUGUUGAUGCACCCACCAUGGCCAAAUUUUCCAAGAAAAAAUGUGAGGAUGACUUUACCAUAUUUCAAGUUAUUUAAUUUGUGUUUGAUGAUUUGGAGAAUUAGAAGAAAAAAUGGAAUUAUUUGGAGUUAAAUUGGACAUAUUGGCCAAUUAAUCGAGUGAUAGAUCGAAUUAGGCCAAUACCGUUUUAUUUAAGUACACAAUUGAAUUUGUGUAGAGCACCGUGUUUAGACGAUAAUCUGAACAAUUUGCAUCCCAUUUCAUACAUUAGUAUAAAGCCUGACUUGGUUUUAUAACAAUUUAGCAAAAAUGUACUAAAUGGCUUAUUGUGCAUUAUGUUUAGGUGGUAAGCAUUCUGGCAAAAGUAAAGAGAUAGUACCCGAGGAUCAAGAAUCGGAGUACUUGGAAUUCGACUCCCGAAAUAGUGAGUAACCUUACUAUCGUCUUAAUUAUCUAAAGUGGUUUUUAUCCGAUUUAGUGAUUUUAUGGAAAAUGAGUUUAAAUGGUAAAUCUUUAUGUUUUAUAAACAAAACGUGUUUAAAUGAAAUAAUUUUAGAAAUUGUCUUGAAAUUGAAUGAUGGCUUUAAAAAUAGAGUAAUUGGAGACCAUUUGAUGUAUUGUGAAUUUAUGGCUCUAAUUGAUUGGCUUAUGGCAAUAUUGGCAUGAAUGGCUGAAUUGGUAUUUGUGCUGAAAAUGUAUAAACUGUUGUUUGCCUUGAUAGGCUGGAUAAUGAUAAAAUUGCCAUGUCAUGUUGUUAAAUUUUAUUGAAUUGAUGGGUUAUUGAUUAGUCGCUGCAGUGGACGGGCUCCGUGGACCAGCCUAUUAGAGGGGGCACGGUAACCUUAUUAUAUUCAUACCUCAGUAUGAGAAGUGCGGAUGGAUAACUCCUGAGGUUAACACUUUAGAGUUCACUUCACGCCAUACCACCACGUGAGGGUGAACUCAGCCAACGCCAAGGAACGACUAUGUUUUUAAAAUAAAAACAUGAUUUAUGCAUACAUAACUUUUUAAUAGCCUUGGCGGACUUGGUUGGGAUAGCCUUCGACCAAGGUAUCCCUGAUAACUGAGUAUAAGAAUGAUUUUGGCACUAGCCAAAGCUUUUAAGAAAUUCAUAAGCCAUGUUGAUUACUCGAUUUAUAUGAAUUGAUUUUAUUUGGUUGAAAUGAGUUGAAACGUGAUGAAUUACAGUAUGAUAAACUAUUUUAUCUGUCUCUAUUUACUCAGCUUUAGAUAUUUUAGAUGGUAUUUGUUUACUCACUGGGAUUAUAUAAUCUCACCACCCUCCUUUUCAUCCAUUUCAGGCUCAAGAUAGUCGGUAGAUAGCUCAGUUUGUUGAAGGUUACAGUUGGACUUACAUCCUCAAAAACUGUAGGUUUACUGCUUUUAAUACUUUUGGUCGUUCGUGGGCCCACAUGUCACUGUAAAUUAAAUUUUAUACUUUGGUUAUCUGUAUUACAGUAUGUAUGAAUUUAUUUAGCUUUUACGCUACAAAAAUUAUUUACCAGUAACUCUAUAAAUAUUGUUUUAUAAGAAAAUAAAAUAU
RNAcentral lists this long non-coding RNA (1975 nucleotides) under Theobroma cacao (cacao). RNAcentral describes it as "long non-coding RNA (TCAC_LNC000431)". The record is from RNAcentral. Lineage: Eukaryota; Viridiplantae; Streptophyta; Magnoliopsida; Malvales; Malvaceae.